Molecule: long non-coding RNA, 19368 nt
Filed under: Vitis vinifera (wine grape)
Lineage: Eukaryota; Viridiplantae; Streptophyta; Magnoliopsida; Vitales; Vitaceae
Description: long non-coding RNA (VVIN_LNC002476)
Source: RNAcentral
AUAAGCCGUGUCAUCAUGGUAUAUGAGCUUAGAGCGAAGAUCACUAGGACCCAUAAGAGUAUUAUGUCACAGGAUGCUUCAAAUGAACCUCCCUAUAGGUUUAUAUAGAGCCUAUGAAGCUUCUAGAGACUCUUGGAGCAAUUUACACUAAGCCAUUGGUAGGAAGAGUGUGGAAGGUUCUAGAGAUGCCUAGAGAUGUCCACACAUCUCUACACUAUAGUGAAAGGCAUGAGAGGAGUCCAAGACUUUCUAGAUAAUUUUAGAAAUCUCUUGUAUAUUCUUGUACAUAGGUUUGUACAUAGAAUUGUGUAGGGUAUUCUAGAAUCUUCUUGAUUUGUAAGGAACCCUCCAAGGUUCCAGAGAGUUCCAUUGGUGCCUAUAAAUAGGUGAGGUCCUCAUUUGGCCAACGCACCACCCAAAAACCUAACCAACCAAGCAAGUGAGUCCCCAAAAGCACUUGUAAAGCUUCAUUUGAGCAAUAAAAGUUUCAAUUCUUUAAGCGUCGCUUACUACGUCUCCUAAAGCUUUCGAGUUGUGAACAUCUUAGCUUAGCAAGCUAAGCAUUGGGAGUAAGGCUGACUUAGCAAGAUCAAGUGUCUUGACUUGUCUAAGUGUCUCCGAGCUUAGGAAAAGACUAAGUCCGUGACAAUUAGCUUCCUCAAAAUUGGAUUUUGAGGUUUUCAACAUUUCACUAAAGAAAAUCAGCUACACUUCAAUACCCUAUGUAAAUAACAACGAGACAAAACUUAGGUCUGUGACUUAUUGUCCAUUGCAAGUAGACUCCCCAUGAAUCGGUAUCCGUAAUCUAACACCACAGUAUUAUCACUUAUCAAGAUUCCUCUCAAAUCCAUAAGUUACAAAUCUUGCUUAUCAUGUGAUCAACUGACAUACCCUACCUCUGAUAAACAUAUGUUAAAUUGCACUAAAGGAAUUGUUGUGACUAUAUGUUUCAUGAUCACGUGUCAUUUGGAUCACCUAAUGAGACACAUUGUCUCAAUCCAUGAGAAUACCUGUUGUCACUAAUCUCUAUCAAUAGUGACCCAAUUCAUAGAGAUAUAUGACCACUUUAGGAUCUCACUCAUAAGUCAAAGCUUCCUAUUAAUUUUGGAAUAAACUCAAUAACCUUAUACCAUGAUUCAUCGUAGGUCAUGUCCAGUGUGCAUUACAUGCACUAGUGUACACACCAUGAGAAACUCAACUUGAUGGCUAAGAUAAGUCAUCCCUCUAAUUAAGAGGUGGUGCACUAUAGUCUUUAUUAGAUUGCCCAAAUCCAUGAACCGACUAUAGAUAACUUAUCUAUUUACAAGAAACCCAUGACUUGUAUCUUCUGUACAACUCCUAAUGUACCUAAAUCGUGUACAAUGUAAAAAAUAUUGGACAAAUACUCAAAUCAAUGUCAAUAUAUCAAAGGAAUAGUAAGAUGACAAUUAAGUCAAUCUUUAUUAUAUUAUCUCUUGCUUUUAGGAGAUCAAUCCCAACAUGAACAUGUUUUCAUGUUUUUUUGUUCUAAAAAAUAGAAAACUAGUUUAAAAAAAUAGUUGCUAAAUAAGGCCCAUGGUUUUGCCUCCUUGGGUGAAAACACACAUAACUAAAUGAGAACCUUGAUUAACAUCACUUUCCAACAAGAUUUAUUUAUUUUUUUCUUUUUAAAAUCACAAACGCUCAGAUACUCCACAACCUUAACCUUAACUUUUUUUACUUUUGCCUUCCCAUCUUCUUCGCCUUUCCCAUUUCAUUUUAUCCUUUAACAUUUAUCCAAUCCUUUUUUUCAAUUAAAAAAAAAAAUAUUUUUACCUGUUCAAAUUCAAAAGAAAAAAAAAAGAAAAAUAUUUUUCCCAUUUCCCAUUUCAUUUUAUCCUUUAACAUCCAUCCGGUCUUUUUUUUUUUCCUAUUCAAAUUCAAAAGAAGAAGAAGAAGAAGAAGAAUCUUCUCCUUUCCCAUUUCAUUUUAUCCUUUAACAUUUAUCCAAUCCUUUUUUUCAAUUCAAAAAAAAAAUAUAUUUUUUCCUGUUCAAAUUCAAAAGAAAAAAAAAAGAAAAAUCUUUUUCCCAUUUCCCAUUUCAUUUUAUCCUUUAACAUCCAUCCAAUCUUUUUUUUUUUUUUUUCCAUUCAAAUUCAAAAGAAAAGAAAAGAAAAGAAAAGAAUAUUCUUUCCUAUUCAAAUUCAAAAGAAGAAGAAGAAUCUUCUUCUCCUUUCCCAUUUAUCUUCUUCACUUUUUUUCCAUAUUUUAUCCUUUGACAUCCAUCCAAUUUUCUUUUUCAUUUAAAUUCAAAAGAAGAAUUUUCUUUCUUAUUCUAAUUUUAAAAAUAAAAAAUAAAGAAUAAAAACAAAAGAAGAAGAAGAAGAAUCUUUUUUCCCAUUCAAAUUUUAAAAAUAUAAAACAAAGAACAAAAACAAAAGAAGAAUAAGAGUCUUCUUUCCCAUUCAAAUUCAAGAGAAGAAGAAGUCAUGGUCAUCAACCUUAGUUGUCGUGAAAGUCAUAGCCAUCAGCCUUGGGGCCCAAAUUCCAUCAGCCUUGGGGCCUAUUUGGGAAGUGUUUCCUAGAAUUGUUUUAUGUUUUCAAGAACAUAAAAUAUUACAAAACACGUUUGGUAAGGAAGUCUUUUUUGUUUAUGUUGUUUUUCAUGUUCUUAAAACCCUUAUUUUCAUAAAAUAAUUUAAAGAUGUUUUUUGAAGUUUUUUUUGCUAUUCAAAUAACAAAGAAAAGGGAUCGUUCUUGUUCUAAAUGCCUUAUUCUCUGCAUUGUGAACAUCCAACAUAUUACCAACAAAUCUCAAAGGCUUCAUUUUUAUUACUUUCAAAUUAGAACAAACAACCAAAAUAAAGAUUAUCUAAAAAAACCUCUUCAAGAUUUGGGCAUUACAUCACUAACCCUACAACAAUCGACGAGUGCAGUGCAACAGUUUGAUGACAAUAUUACUGCUACUAUAGUGAGAGACAUUAGAUUCCUCCAUCGACAAUGAGGUUUCAUCGACUUCUCUUAUCGACAAAACAAUAUUUUUCAAAAUUCAACUUUCAAAUGAUUAAUGAGUUUAUCAUAUGAACUAAUAAAAAUAUUAAAAUAAAAUAUAAUUAGAAAUUUUAUAAAGUAAAGAUUUUUUAAAGAAACUUAAAAAUGGUGCAAAUAAUUUUAAAAAUGGAUACAAUUAUUUUAAUUUUAAUGAAAUGUAAAUCUAAAAAUUAUAUAUAUCAAGUUAAUGGAAGAAAAUACAACAUUUAAAAAAACAACUUCCAAACAAAUUUUUUCAUUUUACUUAUUUUAUAAAAUUGAAUUACUUAUUUUAUAAAACUGUUUUUAUUAACUUAUUCAAACAUGUUUUUUAUUUUUUUUAGAAUUCAGUUUUCAAUUUUUUCUUGGAAACAUAAAAAAAUUGUUAAAUUAUUCGAAAAAAACCAUUCUUCAUAAUUAUUUUUGAAAGACAUUUCCCAAACAUGCCGUUAAUUGUCGUGACUGUUGCUGUCCACAAGUUGCAGUUAGAAAUGGUGGACGACCAUGGCCAGGUCCCUCUCACCCUUUAGGCCCUUUUCUUUUCGUUUUUUUUUUUUUCGAAUUUAUAUUGAGAAAAAUAUAUAUAUAUAACAUAAGUGAGAUAAGAGUGAAAAUGAAAUGAGAAAAUAAAAGCAUUGUGAUUAUUUUAAGACUGACAUUGGUCAUAAGAGUUCUUGCAAAUACUUGAUCCUACAUAUUUAAAAAUUUAUUAAAUACCUCUUCAGAAAAGAUGAGUAAAAAUAAUAUAAGAAAAUUUUGAUGAAAGUUUAAAUCAAUAAAUACGCUUAUUUAGUUCAAAACUUUGGAAGGUGAAUAAAAUUAAACCUUUAAAAAAAUAAACAAAAUUAGAUGUUAUUCCCUUCAAAUAUUUCUUUUCAAAAAAUACCGGUGACAAAAUAUUAUUAAAUUUGUACCAGCUUUAGUAUGUUAAAGAGGCAAAUCGAGGAGUAUUGAUAUUUUAUUGUUAAGGCCAACUCAAAUUAGGGUGCACUGAAUCAAACCCAGCUAACUUGCAGCCCUGCUGCAUAGCCAGAUGUCAGUGGCUACUGGAACACUUGACAUGAACCAGAGAGAAAGUGAGUAGACCAAAAAAGUUGCAAAUGCAAACUUUGGAGGACCUCACUUGGGCUCCAUUCUCAAAGCCAUAGGGUGGUGGCAGUGCAACUGGACUAUCAUAUGGCAAGGAGGCAAAAUUUGUGAUCGAGUAUCCCUGAUACGUGGCUGCCUGACCAACCACCCAAAUUCAUGGCAUUUCCAAACAAAUCUACUUGUUAUAUAACAUGUAACAUGAGAUAGGAUGACCCAUGUUUAGUUAUUCUUGACAUUUUCAAACAAAUCCGAUGUUUGGUUGACCGAAUAUAAUAUGAGAUGAAAAAAUGAAUAUCUCAUUACUUAUCUUAUAUUCAACCAAACAUGAAAUCAGAUAAAUGAUGAAAUAUGUUAUCCAUAUUUUUUUUAUCCCUUCUUAAUAAGAUAUAAGAUAUGCUAAUCCCAUACUAAGAUAACUACCAAAAAUAAAAUGGAGCUAAUUGCAUUUCACGAUCCAAAUUGUUGAUAAUUCAAUCAAUCUUUCUUGGGUGAACAGGCACUAUAAGCCGCAAUGGAUCUAAUUGCACCUCUUCAAGAUUUCAAAAAGGCAUUUUUGCCGCAAUGGAUCUAAUUGCACCUCUUCAAGAUUUCGAAAAGGCACUUUUGGAACACCAAUAGACAUAAAAUAACAUAAAAAAGAAUUUAGUACUAUAUUUUUCUUUGGUAUGAGAUAUGCAUCUCUCUCAUGUAUCAUAAAAUUAUUUUUUUAUUAAUUUUUUAUUUUUUUAUAUGCUCAUUUUGCAAAAUAAAGUUUUUUUUUUAUUAUAAAUUACAUUUAUGGUUAAAAAAAGAAAAACUAAAAAAAAUAUUUAUAAAGUAAUACUAAUGUUUGACAUAUAAAUUAUUUUUAUAUAUUAAAUAACAUAAUAUAAAAUUAUUAUAGAGUUUAAAUAUUUUAAUUAUAAAUAUUAUUAAGCAUAAGAGACAUUUUAUUUUUUAAAAUAAAAAAUAUUCAAAUGUGAUAUAAUUUUUAUUUUAAACAUUGAAAAUAUUAUAUAUUUCAUAUAAUUUUUUAUGAAUUUCAUAAAUUAAAUAUAAACAUAAUAUAACAUAACAUAUCUCAUUGGAUAUAUUAUUUUAAAAUAUUAUAUCUAUAAGAUAUAUAUUCUAAGGAUAUCAUAUUCAAAAGAUAUAAAUUUUAUAUUUAAUGGGAUAUGGUAUCUUAAGAUAUACAUAUCAUAUCCUAUUAACCAAACAUACCCUUAGUCCAUAUUUGGUUAAUCGGAUAUGACAUGAGAUAAGAUAAGAGAUGAGAUAUUGUAUCAUAUCUCAUGUUUGAUUGGUGAUGGAAUAUGACAAGUUAUUUCAUCACUUUUAUCUAAUUCUAUGUUCAACUAAACAUUGGAUAAGAUAAGUAGAGAUAUAUAUUAUCUUUUUUUUUUUGUAUCCCCUCUAUAUGAAAUAUGUUAAUCUCAUGUAAAGAUUUCUCAUCUUAUGUUUAACCAAACAUUGAAUAAGAUAUGUAGUGGAACAUAUUAUCCAUUUUUUUUUUGGAGAAUUAUCUUUUGGAGGUAGAUGGGUCCCCAAAUUAACAAAAGGUCCAUAUAACUCUUCAAAUUGAGUUGGAGGAUAUGAAAUAGUAACGGACAAAUAUACCCUUUAAGAACACAUAAAAUAUUUUAUAAAAUUAAGUUAAAUAAAUUUUUUUAAUAAUUUUUUUUCAAAAAUACUGAAUUAAAUAAAAGUAGUUUUUAAAAAUAUUAAAUCAAAUAAUUUUUUUUUCAAAAAUAUUAAAUUAAAUUAAAGUAUUUAAAAAAUUAUUAAAUUAAAUAUUUUUUUAAAUAUUAAAUUAAAUAAAUUUAUUUUUAAAAAACAUUAAAUUAAAUAAAUUUAUUUUUAAAAAAUAUUAAAUUAAAUAAAAGUAUUUUAAAAAAUAUUAAAUUACAUAAAAGUAUUUUUAAAAAAUAUUAAAUUAAAUAAAAAAUAUUAAAUUAAAUAAAAGUAUUUUUCAAAAAUAUUAAUUUUUUUUCUCAAAAUCAACAAAGGGCAUUUUUGGAAAUACUGAAGGAUGAUAUCCUUCAACUCAAUUUCAAUACUUUCAUUGGGUCUUGGGCUCAAUUUGAAGAGUUACAUGGACCUUUUGUUAAUUUGGGAGCCCAUCUACCCCCAAAACAUAAUUCUUCCUUUUUUUUUAUCCCCUCUACAUGAUAUAUAUUAAUCACAUGUUAAGAUAUCUCAACCUAUGUUUGACCAAACAUUGAAUAGGAUAUGUAGUGGAAUAUAUUAUCCAUUUUUAUUUUUUUAUUUUUUUUAUUUUAUCCCUUUUACAUGAGAUAUGUUAAUCUCAUGCUAGAAUAUGACAUACGCAUAUUUCAUGUAUCAUAAAUUUAUUUUAUUUUUAUCACUUUUUUAUCUUUUUAUAUACUCAUUUUGUAAAAUAAUUUUAUUAUUAUUAUAACUUAAAUUUAUGGUUAAAAAAGAAAAACAAAAAAAUAUUUAUAACAUAAUAUUAAUAUAUAAUAUAUAAAUUAUUUUUAUAUAUUGAAUAACAUAACAUAAAAUUUUUAUUUAUAAAGUUUAAAUAUUCUAAUCAUGAAUAUUGUUAAAUAUAAGAGAAUUUUUUUUUUAAAUAGAAAAUAUUAUAAUAUGAUAUAAUUUUUAUUUUAAACAUUAAAAAUAAUCUAUAUUCCAUAUUUUUUUUAUUCAUUUCAUUAAUUAAAUAUAAACAUAAUAUAACAUAACAUAUUCCAUUGGAUAUGCUACUUAGAAUAUCAUGUUCAUAUCAUAUCCUAUUGGAAGUCAUAUCCUAAAAUAUGCAUUUCCUAUUUAAUGAGAUAUAAUAUCCCAUGAUAUACAUAUUUUAUUCUAUGGGAUAUAAUAUCUCAGGAUAUACAUAUUUUAUUCUAUCUUAUCCCAUCAACCAAACGUAACCUUAGCGAAACUCAAUUACACCUAUAGAAAAUAUAGGGCCACGAACCUUACAAAAACCAAGCAGUUUGUUAGCUUCAUGCUAACUGUUGGGAACACACCCGUGGAUACGAAAAAGUAGGCACUGUUGAGUUGACAAAAAACCUAGAUGAACUUCAGAAAAGAUGCAUAUAUGUGACCAUGGGUGGGAAGCAGAAAUAUAACGAGGCAAAAUACAAGAAUACACAUUAAGGGAUAAGUUACCUAGUGUGCAUAUACCCAAAACAGAAGGCAGCAUCAACCCAUCCCUAUCAUUUAAAUAACCAAAAGAAUUCCAACCCCAAGAACUAGCAGUAGCAGUUCCAUGAUCAGCUCAAAAGCCACCAAAAGAUAGAACAGCAUGAAUAAUCAAAUGUAAUUCCAUGCUCAUUGGAUAUUUUUACAAUGGUCAACAGCAAGAUUUGAUGGGUCAUCGUCCUGUUUUCUGUAAUUCCAUAUGAAAACCAAGAAAAUAAGACUGCGGAAGAGAGAAAUGUGGAGGUAGUGAAUUAUACAGCGUCUAGUUUCCAUUUUUGCUAUACAAACAAUUUAACUUAUCAUCAACUGUAAGUUUCUAUACGUUAUCCUAGUUCCUACUCUAUACACAUAUAUAUGUGCAACUUUUAGAGUUCAUACAUACAAGCAGGGAAAUUGGCAAUGGGCUUUCUUCCAACAGAGUAUUAUUGAGUUCCAACAAUACUUUGAGACAGAUUUUUUUUUUUUUUUUUUUUUUUUUUAAUAGACACUUUGAGACAGAGAUUUCAAAUGCAAGCUAACUGAUAUGAGCAAUUCUUAUCAUUAGUGAUUGCAUCUCAUUUAAUUCUUGACACUGUCAAAUGGGCAAUGCUCAUGACAUCAAAGCACUAAUACUUCUUUCUAGUUAAGUUGACCAAACAAAUUCAAAUGCAUAAGUGCCCAAAAUAUAAGAAUCAGGUAAGUAUAUAAAUAGUAACCGAUACAAAGAGCAGUUCAUUUAUUUGUUGGAUUUUGCAUUCUCUUUACAAUCAUAUUUAUUUAUUUUUCCCCUUCCUUAUAAUUUGAAAUGAAAACUUAUAUGUAACUUUGUUUUGUGAUGUAAGCUACUUAUUGUGCACAUUUUUUAUGAGAAAAGGUUCAUCAGAAAAUUGUAAUCCUUGUUUAUGCACUUAUCAUAUAUUUGUAUUUUUCUUUAUACUAGUGUUUAACAAAACAGUUAAUUCAGACUGACCAGAUAAGGACUGGAUUGAUCCUUGAAGAACUCAUCUUUCCAACACAAGCAAGAAAUCAUACAAGCAUAGUGCAAACCUCAAGCAUAUGGAUUAAAUGGCAUUAAUAUAGCCAUAUGGACAAUUAAAACAUGGAAGCAAGUAAAACAUCUUGACUGCAUCAACAAGAAAUAUGUAGUGCUGGCAGCUCAGUUGGAAACUAGAUUUGGGUGGAAAACAAACCAACUAUGAAAAAGAGAUUGAGAAAGAAGAGAAAAUCAAUAAGGAGCUCUUGUUCUACAUCAUGUGUUUCUCCUGAAUUUGGCUCUUGACAAAGCCAAAGAGGAUAUUGAGAAGUCAUAACAGAGUACAGCAAUUGGAUCCAUGACUUCAUGAAGAGGCUCCAAUCAGGUGGUAGUGAAAAGUUGCCAACAUCAAGGAAAGAAAGUGAGGAUUCUCUAGAGCUGAAUUUCAUGACUAAGAAGACAAACUAACAUAAAACAUGAAAUCAUUGGCCUAGGUGUUAGGACCUUAGCUAAGUCAACAUGAUUGCAGGCACACUAAUUAACCCAGCUGAUAGGAUAUCACAGCUAUAGGAAGAAUAAAAAACAUGAGAAAUAAAAAGUGGAUGCAUCUGGAAACCAGAAAUAGAUAUACAUUUUGUGCACGGUAGAAGAACUAUUGUAGGGGAUAUAUUUUAAUAAAGUCUAACCAAGACCUUUCAAUGUUUCACAGAACAAUGGCACAAUAAAACUGAAAAACCAUAUUGAUCCUUGUAAUGCCACAGGUCACUGCAGCCUUUUUCUCUGUGCCUGUGUGGAGCUAAGGAGCAUAGCUAUGGUUAAAGUGUGCUAAGUUUUGGGGUUUCACAUCUUGAAGUGUUGAGUUUCUAACUUGGGGUCCAGGUACAAAAAUAAGAAGAUGACAUCAAAUAAUAAUUUAGGAAAGCAUGCCCUCAGCUAUACUGAUAUCAAGCAGGAAAAGGAAGAAAUGGUUGAAAGCAAGUUUCCAUAGAAAGAGAAAGGAAGAAUCAUAUAUGUAAACUCAACACAGAAGAGCUCUUAACAGUUGCCAACAAUACCUCAUUGAAUUUAAACUUUGUUAUCUUUCCAUAAAAACAAGAGCAAUAACAAAAAUCAUAUGGAAAUUAUAUAAAAGAAAACACCAGUACAAUAGGCAACACCCAGAUACUGAUUACAAAUGCUUCAGUCAGUGAAGCUUAAUAAAAGAAACAAAAACAUACCAGAUAUAACCCAAAAAAAAAAAAUCUUGGUCAAGUCUCAAGCAGUCAAUCAUAGCCAGCAACUUUGUACCUUAACUUCACAUUGUGACUUUCCUGUCAAAAGCCCCAAAAAUGUACCAUUUUCAUUUGAAAGAAGGACGCAAACGAUUCAAAUGAAAACCAAUUAGAAACUUCAUAAUGUAGGGGAAAAAAAGGCUCAAUUCAACAAAAUUCUUUCAUUUAACUAGUAGACUUUACCUGCUCAUGAACCUUGGCUGAAGUCUUCUCCACAAGGCGAGCCAAGCUGUCCAGCUUGGCUAGCAUCUUCUCGUACAAAUCCUCCAAUCCGGCUGUAUAAUUCGUGGCUUCAGAGCCCAUCAACCGACGUAGACUCCCAAUCUGGACACCCUCCGCGCAAGUAUCCAAUUCGCGCUGAGCCUGAGCCUUGGAGACUCGCGUCGCAUCGGUGUCGUCCUCCGCCAUUGGCGAACCCCUCAAAUCACAGGCCAACGAAGGGAAGGGAGAACUAGGGCUAAACGAACCGUAAUGGCCGCGGAAUGCGGGUCCAAUGUUGACGAUGUCGAUUGAUUUGGGCUCGAGAGUCUGAGAAGAGAGGCAGUACUGGUACGCUUUGUACUCAUGCGUGUGAAUGACUUGAUCCGACAAUGGCGAGGCGAAUAGGAGGAAGAGAGAAGGUCUGAAAUUGGAGAGGGAGUUUUCGAUUGGGAAAGAGAAUUGAGCUUUGGUGGAGAGACAGGCGGUGACGGAGGACUCCCGAAGGGAAGGGCGGAGGGGGGAUCGGCGGCGGCCGGAGAACCAACCAAUGAGGGAGCGAAGGGGGACGCGGUCGGCUAGGAGGCGGCGAAGGGCGAGAACGUUGACUUGGCCGGAGGAGUCGUAGAAACUGUCGAUGGUUCCGGAGCAGAGGAAUCCGGAGACGGUAGCGACGAAGGUGGAGGGAUCGGAGGAGGAGCCCAGCGGGUCGUCGUCGGAGAGGGAGGAGGGAGCGAUGUGGGAGACGUGGCCGAACAGGAGACCGUCCACGUCGCCAAGAGCGGUGGAGAAGCGUUGGAUCAUGGAGGCUAGGGUUGGCCCCGAUAUUUGUAUUUUCUGCAGUGGAAGGUCGUCCAUGUCACAACUGCGAUUGUGAGAACGCGAGAAGACAAGAGAGAGGAAACGGAGGCUGGAGCGAACCACAAAUUUUGAGCUAAAUUAGUAAAUUACCACUUCUUUUCUGAAAUUGUACUUGCUGCCAAAGCCGUCCCUUUUAUUGAACCUAAUUUUUGUUUUGCUACCCUAAAUUCGAGAACUAGAGACCUGUCACAUUUUAUUGUGUUACUACAUUUGUUCUGCAAUUGUGAUUUCCACCGCAUCAUGGGUGCUUCAGAUUAUCAUGCAAUGAGCCAAUGACACAAAUGAAGGAAAAUUCAAUAAUCUUCAUUAUAUAACCCAAGUAAAAGAAGCUACAGAAUUUCAUAACUGUUCAACAUGAACCCAGAAUUAUUACUUUCCAUGAUCAAAAAAGAAUACUUACGCCAGACAAAAACAUAUAGACUUGUAUUUACACACAGACAAUAAAGCAACUACCAAAAUUAAAUCCCAAGAAUUAAAGAAUGAAUUUCAACACUAUCCAACCAACCCAACCAUUUAUUCUUAUUCGUUUGUCAAGGGGGGGACUUUGGUUCCAUCAUCAACAGAAGUGGCUCCCAGCUCUGGCUUAAUCUCUUCCAGUUGCUGGAGAACUUGUUGAACGUCCGGGCGUGCAGCAGGCGAAGGGUCAACGCAGUGCAGACCUAAUUUCAAUGUGUUAAGCAACUCAUCACCUGUGGUUGAUGCAUCUCUCAUCAGCUCCAAGUCGAAUACUUCAUUUGUCCACUCCUCCUUUACGAUUGAUGCUACCCACUGGGGUAAAUCCACCCCUCCAUCCAUUUCCUCACCUGGAGACUUCCCUGUUAAGAGUUCCAAUAUGAUUACCCCAAGGCUGUAGACAUCACUCUUGGUAUUGGCCUUCUUUAUCUUUGAAAGCUCUGGUGCUCGGUAGCCUAGUGCUCCUGCAGUGGCAAAAACAUUGGUGUUGGCUGCAGUUGUCAUAAGCCUGGACAGGCCGUAGUCCGCAAUAUGAGCAUUGGUUUGCUCAUCAAGUAGUAUGUUGCUCGAAGUGAGAUGCCCAUGUGUUAUGUUCUCUUGAGCAUGGAGGUAGCAAAGGCCACGCGUGAUGCCCAUGGCUAUGUUCAUCCUUGUUGGCCAACUGAUCACGGUUUCAGGCCCACGAGCUGCAUAUAUAAAGAUGUACACACAUGUUGUUAGACUAAUCAGUCAGUUCAUAUGCGUUCAUGAGAAUCACGACUACUAAAUAAAGUGUCUUCUUAUUCAUGACUUCUUUCUUUGCAACUUUUUCCCUAAAUUCUAAAUGACUCACAAUUUGUGUAUAAAAUUUAAGAGUUGGGUUGAACCAACUUACCGUGAAGGAAGGAUGAAAGACUCCCUUUAGGCAUGUAAUCAAAGACAAGGAGCUUCUCUCCUUUGGGUCCCAUGUAAUAAGCUCUGAGAGCUAAGAGAUUUGGGUGUCUGAUCUUUCCGAGAGCAGCAACCUCAGUCUCAAACUCCUUAUGGCCUUUUGCAAUCUUCUCCCUUAACCUCUUAACUGCAACUUGGUUACCAUCUUCCAGUGUUGCCUUGUAUGAAGUCCCAUAAGUGCUCUUCCCCAUUAUCUCUGCUGUUGCGCACAGCAGAUCAUCGGCUGUGAACACAAAUGGCCCAUCAAAAUGGACUAGUUUUCCACCAGUUUCACCACCACCACCAGAUUCAGCUUCAGUCCCAACUGCUGGAACUGCCUUCUCGCCUCCCCCUGUGGCAGAGCCGCCUGCUGUUUUACCACCUUUUGCUUUUGUAGCAGCCUUUUUCCUCAUCAAACAACAAAGCAAAAUACAGCAUAGUAGAAGCAGAAUUACUAGUAGAGCGCCUGCUGCUAUGAGAAUUAUGUCCUUGGUACUUAGUCUGCGGCGGUGAUAUUGUUUUGGUGGAGGUGAAAGAAUUUGAGGUGGAGGAGGACAUGGGGUGGAAAUGCUGUACCCGCAUAGCUGUAGGUUCCCUACAAAAGAGCUUGAAUUGAACUUUUGGGAGAGGAGGGAUGGAACAGAACCGGAGAGAUUGUUGUAAGCAACACUGAAAUCGCUGAGAUUGGGAAGGUUGGCUAGUGAAUCCGGAAUUGCUCCAAUGAGUUGAUUUCCAGAUAAUUCAAUUUGCGUGAGGCCAGAGAUGUUCCCAAUAGUUGCAGGGAUUUGGCCUUCGAAUUGAUUAUUCUUCAGGUUGAAUACCGACAGAUUUUGCAACCUGUCCAUGGCUUCUGGGAUAUUGCCAUUGAGGCGAUUGCCCUCAAGAUUCAACAAAGCUAGAGAGGAGAGGUUGGAAAGGCUAGCAGGCAAGCUUCCAUGAAUGGAAUUGUUGGACAAAUCUAGCACUUGGAGCCUAGAGAGACUUCCUAAUUCAUCAGGUAUGAUCCCAUCAAUCUGGUUAUGACUCAGAGAAAUCCCUUCAAGCUUUCCCAAUUUACUCAGAGAAAUAGGAAUAUCUCCCGAGAUACGAUUUUGAUCAAGAGUCAAGGUCUGAAGUUGAUAAACAUUCUUCCCUGUUCCACCCCAAGUAUUUGGAAUGGAACCAGAGAGGUUGUUAUGUUGAAGGGCAAGGAAAAUAAGAGAGUGGGAUUGAGUGAGACUAACCGGGAUUGACCCAAAGAAUGAGUUGAAGCUCAGAUUGAGUCUGUAUAAUUUGGUGGAGUUCGCCAGACUAGGCGGAAUAGUCCCAGUGAGCAGAUUGUUACUGACAUCAAGGGUCUGAAGAAGAAGGCAGUAGCCAAUAGAAGGCGGGACUGAACCUGAAAGCCUGUUAUUGAAGAGAUAAACACCUCUAAGGUUGGGAAGGAACCCGAGCGACGUAGGGACAGGGCCAACAAGAAGAUUGUCAUGGAGACUAAUCCUCCGGAGUGCUUGCAGCUGACCUAUCUUCUCAGAGAUUCGGCCCCCCAAUCCCUUCCAUGGAAGUUGAAUGGCAAUAACCUGUCCCCGAGCACACUUGAUUCCUAUCCACCCACCAGAACAAGCUUCCAAACCGCUGUCAUUCCAGGUACUCAAAACGCCUUUCAAAUCAACGAAUUCAUGUUUUAAGGCUUUGAGUGCCUGAUAAUCUGCUUGAGUCACCACCACCCCAUCCCAUGGAUGGCCCGAAACAAGUGGAAAGGUGAGAAGCAGCACCUGAACCAACAAGAACAGGUGGUUGAAGAGGAAGGACUUGAAUUUGUCACGCGGAUGGCUCUUCCAUUUCUUUUUCUUAUUAUCGGAAAUCAGGCACAAAUCACCCAUCUCUUCCACCAUAAACUGAAAGGGAUCUCCCAUUAACCCCAAAACAAGUAUAGAAAUAGAAUUAGGGAAGAGCAGAGUUGGAAGUCUCUCUUCUCCCCCUUUCCUUAAAGUGGUGUGUGUGAUGCUAUCUCCAGAUUUGGGAAAGAGAGUUUAUUGAAGAAGAAAGAAGAACUAAACGGUAAAUAAGGAGGAGAGAAAGGGAUGGGUGGGAGCUCUGAUACAGCAUGUGAGGGAAGUGAGUGAGUGAGCAGAGGGAAUCUUGUUAAGGCAGGAGGAUGGAUGGGGAAACUUCAUUUUAGUUGAUCCUAACGGCUAGUUUUAUGUAGGGUUGGUUGUAACUAAGGUCUUUCUGUUCGUUGGAGACUUAAUGCAACGGCUAUAUUUCGUGGGGCACCCACAUGCCCUAAAUUACAAAAUUGACUAAAAGUCUCUGGUUGCCGUUGGAAAGUUGACCAGGACACUAACGGCCUCCGCCCCAUCAAAUCAAUUUACUACCACAGCUAGAGAUUUACCUCGUAUCCAGAGUGGAUAAUUACCGCAGGCAAGUUGCUUGUCCCCGCUUUAGAGACCUUGAACUGUAUUUACUCAAAAUAUUGUGAUCAACCGUUGCUUACGUACGGCCAUUAAUCAGAAGAGGGAUGGGAUGGAGGAAGUUAUUUUUUAUGUGUCCUUGCCUCAGUUAUUUUUAAUGGUAUAAAAAAAGUUAUUUUUUGGCAUUAUAUUAAGAAGCGUUAAUGAAUCAAAUAUGGUACAAGGAGUUACCCAUAACAUUUUCAUAAUUUUCAGCAUAUGAAUUGUCAUCUUAGGAAGUUACAUAUGAAGACAGCGUUUGAUGAACUUUUUUAAUAUCGUCAGUCAAAAUGAUAUGGGCAGUGGCAUGAGCGUACGGUAUGAGAGACCAUGAUGAAUGCGUGUAAACAUAUGUUACUAAAAUAAACAUCCUUAAUUAUUAUUAAUUUUGGUCAAGCGUGCCGUGAGAGCUGGAAUUUCUCAAAACAUCAUCAUUUUAAACUCUUCAAGUAAAAAUCAAUUUGCAUUUACUUUCACUUUUUCUUGUACAGUUUUAUCAGUUUUAACUUUUAAGUCAUUAAGAACCAUGUUACACUCAACCCAAGUUCACUCUUCUUUUGAUUGCACCUAACGACGGUUUAAUUCGGGUCCUUGGACCCAGGUCUGCCCUGGGCCUGACCCAAACCCACCUCAAUAUGUUAUUAAGUGAUGGUAUAUCUGUGCUUCUAAAUCAGACGUUGCAUUUGUUUUAUACACAAAAAAUAAUUUUUUUUUUUUUUCAAAAUUGAAGUUGAAUUGAAGCCUCAGUUGUCAACGGAGGUUUCAUUUUUUAAUUGAAGUCUCAGUUGUUAAUUGAGGCUUCAUUUUUUAACUAAAACCUUAAUUGACAAUUGAGGUUUGAGUUGAUUUUUUUUAUUUUAAAAUUUAAUUAAAAAUAUUAAAUUAUAAAUUAUUAUUAAAAUUAAAAAUAUAUUUUAAUAAUUAAAAUUUAUAUAUUUAAACUUAAAUAUAUAAUAUUACUUCAAUAAAGAUAAAUUGAUAUAUAUAAUAAUAAAUAAAUAUUUUAUUUAUCAAUAAAUUAAUAAUCUUAAAAUAAUAAAAUUAUAUGAACUCUAAAAUAUAAAAUUAUAUAAUUUAUUAAUUUAAGAUAUUUAAUUUAUUUUAUUUUUAAGAUAUUAAUUAAUUUAUAUUUUCACAUAUUUAUCUUUAUUAAAAUAAUAAUAUAUUCUUAAGCUUAGAUUUUUUAUUAUUAUUUUAAAGCAUACAUUUAUAGUUGAAAUUGACUCAUGUUGGACUCGCCUACAAGAAGAGAGCCUAGUAACAACCAAUUCUGACAUCUCUGGUGAGGUCUUGUCUUGAUCAUAACAAUCUCGAGUCUACUCACAAUUGAGAAUAUCCCUUGACAAUGGGAUAGGUCAACGUAUGAUGUUCUACCGUUUUAGUUUUGAGGCGGUGGAUCCUAUUGAAUCAAUUACAACGAGAAAAACUAUGGUGGUCCUUGACUAUCCAUUGUGCUUCGCAGGUCUCAAAGUGUACAAAACAAAUAGGACAAGGAUUACAAUUGGUUUUGAGCCAACUGUAGCCAAAUUCAUCCGAUUUAAUGGAAGUUAUACAACUUUUCUCUUUUCUUUGUGCUUAUCAGAGAAUUCACCCAACAGUAAUGGUCUGGAUGAACUCAUUUCCUACACAAAAGGAUGUUCAAACGGGUGAUUUGGGUACACAUCUUCAAAGCCUAAGUCAAACAAGGAUAGAUCAAGUUGCUUUGUGAGAGAGAAUAGAUAGGCAUAUGUGUGUACACGUACCUCAUGUGUGCUUCGUUAGACGGUUUUUAUAAUGCUAAAGAGAGUGUCAUUGUAGUGCUGACUAGACACUUUGACUCUUAUUGUAAUGAUGAUUGUCUUACAGGCGGUUGGGUAAUCAUCACAGUUUUGGGUGUCUGGCAAGUGUCAUCAGCUGACGUGUCAUGACUUAAAACUUAAAACUAUGCUACCGCUUAUCCCUUCAGUCUGUUGAUAGUCUAGGGUUAUAUACAAGAAUUAAUUGACAUGGAUUUGAGGGCUAGAAGAAGUCCCAUCAAGCGUUCAUAUGUCAAGUGUAAAUGACCACACAAGUCAAUGGGUCUUGAAGGCUUGAUUGGACGAUCCUAUCUAUUUGGGGAGUCCGAUUUCUCCUUAUCGUCUGGUCCUGUAGGGGAAAAGGGCCUCAUUUUGCCUGGUGUUAGAUAGAACUAGUAGUGAUCCAAACAGAAUGAUCCAGAUGGGUUGCAUGCACGUGCUAGAUGGUCAAGGUGUCCGGGUUGGAAAAAGGACACGUGGAAGAGAGUCCCCCACAAUCACCACUUGGAUAUGUUGAUCAAGUUAUUGACUAACCCAAGCAUAAUCCAAAUUAAGAAACAAUCAACUCAAGUUCAAUCCCAUUUCAUUUUUUUUAAACUCAAAUUGAUCAAAUUCAUAUUAAACUUGGUUUGGUUGGAUUGCAGGAUUCAAAAUUAAUAUCCAAUGCUUAUAAAAAUAUUUUUCUAUAUAAAUAUAUCAAAAUUCAAAUAAUAAUAAGACAAAGUUUUAAGAUAGUAACAAAAUAAAUAAAUAAUUCAUAUUAUUGUAUAUAAAAUAUUAUAAAUAUUAUAAAAACGUUAAUUUAAGGUUGGGUUAGUCUUGAAUUGUUUUUAUGUGAAAAAAUCUAACCUAACCUCAAUAUAAAUAUUAAAAAUGAUUGUUAAAAUUCACUUAAACAUAUGAUUGAAUUAGGUCAACUCACCCAAAUUGCACUCCUAGAAGACCCUUUGGUUGGACAAUUCCUUAUACUUUCAUAAUAGAGAGGUGGGAGGUGGGAAGUGUUUUCGGUAACUUCAUAGGAGCUUUGAUCAAAAGUGCCUGCCCAGAUUCGGAUCCACCUGGGUGGCCCUGGUGACCGGCUCCUCAAUUCUUGCUUCUCCCUUGCACCCCAUUCCGGUCCUCAUCCCCAUGAAACAGGACUUGAAAAUUUUGGAAAUUGGAUAUGAAUAAUGGAAUCAUAUUUUCAAACAUAUUACAUCCCAAAAAUAGAGAUAUGAUUAUCCCCUACUACACCGUGGGAUAAAACUUUUCCAAAAAGGUUUGCUAGCAAGUAAAAAAUAUGAUUUACGGAUCCAUUGGGCUCAAUGCCGGCUCCAAAAUUGCUCCGAGUGCUUCCCCAUUUAAAGCUUGGGUAACACAUUCAAACACUUUACUGCUGAACCGGCCCGCCCAGAAAGAAAAACCUCAUAACAAAUCCAAGAAACACUUCUUGAAUGGUGAUGGAGAAAAGCACAUUCCAUAUUACAGUUUUAAACCUCCCUCCCACCAACAUUAAGGAAUCGAGAGGCUCAAUUAUUCGACAGUGCAUACAAAUCUUAUACCUACAAAUACCUCAAUCAUAUACCUACAAAUCCCUUCCACUCUCUAUGGGAAUCCAAACCCUUGGGGUACUGUUUGUGGCCACCACAAUCAACACCUUGUAAUCCAAGCCAUGCAGCCAGCAACAUGAAUCAAACCCAAGAGCUUGUGCGUCUACCACACAUCGAGGCAUUCACCCAAACCAACUGGACACCCAUACUUUGCCUUAUUCCAUUACAUCUAUCAUUGAUUGCUAACAAACAGAUCAAAACAAAAUGCUUAACCCAAGGGCAAUGGAAACGCGCAUUUUAUAACUCCUAUAGACUUUGCAGCAAUCACCCUAACUACAUGCCAAUAUUUUUCUCCUCAAUUAAAAACACCAUCAUUUAGCAACACUUAAAUUUAAUUCAUCAACUAAUCUUACUGUCUGUUCAUAUAUAAUUCUCGCUUUUCCUUGACUGGUAUGUCUUUCUUAUACAAAUUACAUUCAAUGAGCAAAUCUCCUCGUCAGUCAUCUGAUUCUAAUCCUAUGAACAGCUUGCUCUUCAACGUAUCUGUCAAGAGAGCAAAAAUGAUCACUAUAACAAUCGACAUGAGUAUCCUGAAAGAUCCCUUAACAGCACAUGACCCUGGAUGAUAUUGCAAAUUACUUGCAACCAGCAGAAAAGGAAGCCAAUUUGUUGUGUCAUCAAAAUCAAAACAGGUAUAUCAUUGAAGCAGGCGCAUCAAUAAAUUGGGCAUAUGUAAAAGAAAAUAAAUGAUAAAUUAGGCCAUUUUCAUUUUGUAGCCUCAAUGGAAACGAUAGGACUUUUGUGUUGAAUGCAGAUCUGAGAUAAAACCCUAGCAAAACCAUUCUACGGAAUACAAAUCUCUAAAAGAUAGAAGAAAAUAUGCAUUCCCCAGAGAAUCGAAGUAAAAUUAGAUCUCCACAAAUGAAUGGAAGAACAAAUUAACAAAUAUAAUCAAUCAUAAAGAAAAUUACAGGGUAAGUACGAUGGGCCUGAAAGAUCCAUCACCAGAUGUUCAAAAGGAGAAUAUAUCCGUACAUUUUCGCAUCAAGAUCCAACCUAUAUAUAUUUUUAUGACGAAAAUUUCGAUUAUUCAAUUUUUUUUUCUACCGAACAAUAAAAUUUGAUCGAAAGUUAAACAAGCAAUCACAAAAUUACCCCUAACAAUCGCCGUCGGGAUGGAUGGUUGUAACCCUCAAACGCGUCCGGCGACCACAGGAGCGACAUUGGAGGGGGUAGCGCCUAGAAAUGACAAGAAUCCAGUAGCGGCGGGAUCUUGCUCGUCGAGGAAGAGAUCGUCGGGAACUCUAAAUGCGCCGUGAGCGCAAACGAUGGCCGCACCGACCAUGAGAGCGGAGAUGAGAACGGAUCCGACGCUGGUGAGGAAAAUGACGACGACGCUGAGGACAACGAGGAUGCCAAGGGUCUCGCGGUCGGAGAAAGUGCGGCCGAAGAGGACGAGAGGAGGAUCGGAGGGGCGGAAGAGGUAGAGGAAGAGCCAGGCGGCGAGGAGAGAAAGGAGGAGGAGGAGAGAGAAAGGGUUGGUGAGGAGAGAGAAGGCAAGGGUAAGGGCGAUGAGGGAGAGGUAGUUGACGCGGAAGUAGGUGUAGUUCUUGCGUACGCGAAGGGCGGCCUCGGAGAAGGACUCGGGGCGGGAGAAAGCGUUGCGGUCGACGAGCUCGGACCAGGGGCGGCGCUGAGCGAAGCCGUUGCGGACGGAAUCGGUGAUGUGGGUGAUAAAUAAGCGGACAGCGGGUGUGGCGACCGGAG